AGUGAACGCUGGCGGUAGGCCUAACACAUGCAAGUCGAACGGCAGCACAGUAAGAGCUUGCUCUUACGGGUGGCGAGUGGCGGACGGGUGAGGAAUACAUCGGAAUCUACUUUUUCGUGGGGGAUAACGUAGGGAAACUUACGCUAAUACCGCAUACGACCUACGGGUGAAAGCAGGGGAUCUUCGGACCUUGCGCGAUUGAAUGAGCCGAUGUCGGAUUAGCUAGUUGGCGGGGUAAAGGCCCACCAAGGCGACGAUCCGUAGCUGGUCUGAGAGGAUGAUCAGCCACACUGGAACUGAGACACGGUCCAGACUCCUACGGGAGGCAGCAGUGGGGAAUAUUGUACAAUGGGCGCAAGCCUGAUCCAGCCAUACCGCGUGGGUGAAGAAGGCCUUCGGGUUGUAAAGCCCUUUUGUUGGGAAAGAAAAGCAGCAGGUUAAUACCCCGCUGUUCCGACGGUACCCAAAGAAUAAGCACCGGCUAACUUCGUG
This 492-nucleotide ribosomal RNA is filed under the name uncultured bacterium. RNAcentral's name for it is "partial 16S ribosomal RNA". It matches the Rfam family "Bacterial small subunit ribosomal RNA", at positions 29 to 507 of the family's 1533-position model. The record is from RNAcentral.